RNAcentral lists this long non-coding RNA (1479 nucleotides) under Homo sapiens (human). RNAcentral describes it as "novel transcript". Lineage: Eukaryota; Metazoa; Chordata; Mammalia; Primates; Hominidae. The record is from RNAcentral.
AGGAAGUCAUCCUAGGCCAUAGGGCAGCCAUCAGAUGUAUAAUAUCUUCUGUAUGGUUCUGAAUGAAAAAGAAAAAGCCGUUUGGGGUCUGCAACUGGAGAACUCAAACCCAACUCCUUGGCACGCUGAGAAAUGAGAUGUUUGGGAUGGAGAGCCCCAUACUCUAUAGAAGAAACAGAAGACAAAAGAAGGGUUAAAAACAUUUGUGUUCCUUAAUUGAGCUGGUCGUGAUCCUUGUGACUAUCCUAACUGAAAUUGUUCAGAAACCUCCCAAGAUACCUAUGUGAAGAGAUGACUAAUCCAGAUCAUGGAGGCCACCCAGUGGCCAUGCACUUGUUCUUCAACAACUAAGGCACACAUACAAACUGAUUUCAGAUCCAGAUGAUCCCCCAGAGGAAGAAGACAAAAGGAUCCUGGGCCUCCACAUUCAUAUUUUCACACAUUUUGUGAAAACCCAGACUACCCUUCCAUGAACAUGAGGAAUCACACAUUGCUGAAUGAAUUCAUUCUACGGGGAAUACCUCAGACAGAGGGACUGGAGGCUGUACUCUGUGCUGUCUUCUCAUUCAUCUACCUCUUCACCCUACUUGGAAAUUUACUCAUCCUUAUAGCGAUUGUUUCUUCACACUCCUAUGUAUUUCUUCUUGGGACGCCUGUCUACUUUUGACAUAUUGUUCCCAUCUGUAACAUGUCCCAAGAUGCUAUUGUAUCUCUCUGGCCAGAGCCCAGUCAUUUCUUUUAAGGGAUGUGCUUCACAGCUCUUCUUCUAUCAGUUGCUGGGUUCUGCUGAAGGCUGCCUCUAUUCUGUGAUGUCUUAUGAUCGCUUUGUUGCCAUACAUCACACACUGAGAUAUAUGCUCAUCAUGAAGCCUGGAGUCUGUGUCGGCUUGGUCGUGGUGCCGGGUUGGUGGGUUGUCUUCACGCCACCAUUCUGACCUCCUUUACCUUUCAGUUGUCCUACUGUGGCCCCAAUCAGGUGGACUACUUCUUCUGUGACAUUCCUGCUGUUUUACCCCUGGCUUGUACUGACAGUGCCCUGGCCCAGAGGGUGGGUUCCAUAAAUGUUGGCUUUCUGGCUUUAACACUUUUGAUCAGUGUCUGUGUCUGCUACACUAGCAUUGGGAUUGCCAUCUUGAGAAUCCGCUCAUCAGAGGGCAGGCAGAAAGCCUUCUCCACCUGCAGUGCUCACCUUGUUGCAAUCCUCUGUGCCUAUGGACCUGUAAUCAUCAUCUAUCUGAAGUCCACACCCAACCCCUUGCUUGGUGCCAGGUGCAAAUAUUAAAUAAUGUUGUCUCACCCAUGCUGAACUCGUUAAUCUAUUCCUUAAGGAACAAGGAAGUGAAAAGGUCCCUGAAAAGAGUAUUCUGAAAUGUUUUACUUACUGUUUGUGAAUAAAUUAUGAGUUAUUAUUGGGAAUAAAUGUCAUAAUUAACAUUAUUCUUUGUCUCUUAGUUCUGGAUAAGGAAUCCAAAGGGCAUA